GCUCAACCGGGGAGGGUCAUUGGAAACUGGGGAACUUGAGUGCAGAAGAGGAGAGUGGAAUUCCACGUGUAGCGGUGAAAUGCGUAGAGAUGUGGAGGAACACCAGUGGCGAAGGCGACUCUCUGGUCUGUAACUGACGCUGAGGCGCGAAAGCGUGGGGAGCGAACAGGAUUAGAUACCCUGGUAGUCCACGCCGUAAACGAUGAGUGCUAAGUGUUAGAGGGUUUCCGCCCUUUAGUGCUGCAGCAAACGCAUUAAGCACUCCGCCUGGGGAGUACGGUCGCAAGACUGAAACUCAAAGGAAUUGACGGGGGCCCGCACAAGCGGUGGAGCAUGUGGUUUAAUUCGAAGCAACGCGAAGAACCUUACCAGGUCUUGACAUCCUCUGACAACCCUAGAGAUAGGGCUUCCCCUUCGGGGGCAGAGUGACAGGUGGUGCAUGGUUGUCGUCAGCUCGUGUCGUGAGAUGUUGGGUUAAGUCCCGCAACGAGCGCAACCCUUGAUCUUAGUUGCCAGCAUUCAGUUGGGCACCCUAAGGUGACUGCCGGUGACAAACCGGAGGAAGGUGGGGAUGACGUCAAAUCAUCAUGCCCCUUAUGACCUGGGCUACACACGUGCUACAAUGGGCAGAACAAAG
Molecule: ribosomal RNA, 637 nt
Filed under: uncultured bacterium
Lineage: Bacteria
Description: bacterial SSU rRNA
Rfam family: Bacterial small subunit ribosomal RNA
Source: RNAcentral